UAGCUAGUUGGUGAGGUAAAGGCUUACCAAGGCGACGAUCUGUAGCGGGUCUGAGAGGAUGAUCCGCCACACUGGAACUGAGACACGGUCCAGACUCCUACGGGAGGCAGCAGUGGGGAAUUUUGGACAAUGGGGGCAACCCUGAUCCAGCCAUGCCGCGUGAGUGAAGAAGGCCUUCGGGUUGUAAAGCUCUUUCGGCCGGGAAGAAAUCGCAUGGGCCAAUACCCUGUGUGGAUGACGGUACCGGAAUAAGAAGCACCGGCUAACUACGUGCCAGCAGCCGCGGUAAUACGUAGGGUGCGAGCGUUAAUCGGAAUUACUGGGCGUAAAGCGUGCGCAGGCGGUUUUGUAAGACAGGCGUGAAAUCCCCGGGCUUAACCUGGGAACUGCGUUUGUGACUGCAAGGCUAGAGUACGGCAGAGGGGGGUGGAAUUCCACGUGUAGCAGUGAAAUGCGUAGAGAUGUGGAGGAACACCAGUGGCGAAGGCAGCCCCCUGGGUCGAUACUGACGCUCAUGCACGAAAGCGUGGGUAGCAAACAGGAUUAGAUACCCUGAUAGUCCACGCCCUAAACUAUGUCAACUAGGUGUUGGGUGGGUAAAACCAUUUAGUACCGUAGCUAACGCGUGAAGUUGACCGCCUGGGGAGUACGGCCGCAAGGUUAAAACUCAAAGGAAUUGACGGGGACCCGCACAAGCGGUGGAUGAUGUGGAUUAAUUCGAUGCAACGCGAAAAACCUUACCUACCCUUGACAUGCCAGGAACUUGCCAGAGAUGGCUUGGUGCCCGAAAGGGAGCCUGGACACAGGUGCUGCAUGGCUGUCGUCAGCUCGUGUCGUGAGAUGUUGGGUUAAGUCCCGCAACGAGCGCAACCCUUGUCGUUAAUUGCCAUCAUUUAGUUGGGCACUUUAACGAGACUGCCGGUGACAAACCGGAGGAAGGUGGGGAUGACGUCAAGUCCUCAUGGCCCUUAUGGGUAGGGCUUCACACGUCAUACAAUGGUCGGUACAAAGGGUUGCCAAGCCGCGAGGCGGAGCCAAUCCCAGAAAGCCGAUCGUAGUCCGGAUUGCAGGCUGCAACUCGCCUGCAUGAAGUCGGAAUCGCUAGUAAUCGUGGAUCAGCAUGUCACGGUGAAUACGUUCCCGGGUCUUGUACACACCGCCCGUCACACCAUGGGAGCGGGUUCCGCCAGAAGUAGGUAGCCUAACCGCAAGGGGGGCGCUUACCACGGCGGGGUUCGUGACUGGGGUGAAGUCGGAACAAGGUAGCCGUAGGGGAACCUGCGGCUG
Molecule: ribosomal RNA, 1287 nt
Filed under: metagenome
Description: bacterial SSU rRNA
Rfam family: Bacterial small subunit ribosomal RNA
Source: RNAcentral